Molecule: ribosomal RNA, 327 nt
Filed under: uncultured eukaryote
Lineage: Eukaryota
Description: partial 18S ribosomal RNA
Rfam family: Eukaryotic small subunit ribosomal RNA
Source: RNAcentral
CCCCUAGAUGUUCUGGGCCGCACGCGCGCUACACUGAACAGUUCAACAAGUCUUAACCUUGGCCGAUAGGUCUGGGUAAUCUUUGAACGUGAAUCGUGAUGGGGAUAGAUGAUUGCAAUUAUUCAUCUUCAACGAGGAAUUCCUAGUAAACGCAAGUCAUCAGCUUGCAUUGAUUACGUCCCUGCCCUUUGUACACACCGCCCGUCGCACCUACCGAUUGAAUGGUCCGGUGAAAUCUUCGGAUCUGAGAGAUGUCUGAUUAAUUUCGGACGCCUUUUGGAAAAGUUGUUUAAACCUUACCAUUUAGAGGAAGGUGAANUCGUANCA